Molecule: ribosomal RNA, 802 nt
Filed under: uncultured bacterium
Lineage: Bacteria
Description: bacterial SSU rRNA
Rfam family: Bacterial small subunit ribosomal RNA
Source: RNAcentral
AGAGUUUGAUCAUGGCUCAGGACGAACGCUGGCGGCGUGCUUAACACAUGCAAGUGGAGCGACGAACCGGGCUUCGGCCCGGGGCAGAGCCGCGAACGGGUGAGUAACACGCGGGUAACCUACCCCGAUGACCGGGACAACCCGAGGAAACUCGGGCUAAUACCGGAUGUUCUCGUUUUCCGCAAGGAAACCGAGCAAAGAUAGCUUCGGCCUUCGCAUCGGGACGGGCCCGCGGCCCAUUAGCUUGUUGGUGGGGUAACGGCCUACCAAGGCGACGAUGGGUAGCUGGUCUGAGAGGACGAUCAGCCACACUGGGACUGAGACACGGCCCAGACUCCUACGGGAGGCAGCAGUGGGGAAUCUUGCGCAAUGCGCGAAAGCGUGACGCAGCAACGCCGCGUGGGGGAAGACGGCCUUCGGGUUGUAAACCCCUUUCAGUUGGGACGAAGCUUCGUCGGUUAAUAGCCGGCUGGAGUGACGGUACCUUCAGAAGAAGCCCCGGCUAACUACGUGCCAGCAGCCGCGGUAAUACGUAGGGGGCUAGCGUUGUCCGGAAUCAUUGGGCGUAAAGCGCGUGUAGGCGGCCCGGUAAGUCCGCUGUGAAAGUCGGGGGCUCAACCCUCGGAUGCCGGUGGAUACUGUCGGGCUCGAGUACGGAAGAGGCGAGUGGAAUUCCUGGUGUAGCGGUGAAAUGCGCAGAUAUCAGGAGGAACACCAAUUGCGAAGGCAGCUCGCUGGGACGUUACUGACGCUGAGACGCGAAAGCGUGGGGAGCAAACAGGAUUAGAUACCCUAGUAGUCC